UGCAAAUACCCACAAAAUUUGACUAAAAAUUUGCGAAAAUUGCACGUUUCUAUCAUCUUUUAUUUCCUUUUCUGACACACGUGAUGAAAAUGCAAGCAAGCUUAGCUUAAUCAAGAUUGAAGCAGUUUUACUCUCUUCUUUGUUGAGAACAGCCGCCAUUAACGACCUUGAUCCAACAUGUACCAGGGAAGAAGGAUGGACAAGGGAACACGAAUGAGGGCAGAAGCUACAUUCGAAUUAACCCAGUCAAUUGCUUCUGGUGUUUGUAAUCAAGAAGGUAGUGAUGUUGAAGUCGAGGAAGAUUUUGAUGUAGAAUUAAAUGACGACGAACCUUUCUUUCUGCGAGGAAAAACCAGUAGAAGUACAGGCAUUGAUAUGCCCCCUGUCAAACUCUUUAAAAACCCAGAAGGUUCAUUGACUCGUGCAGCUUUACUUCAAUCUGCACUGGUUAAACAACGUAGAGAAAUCCGUGAAGAACAAAAAAGAAUUCUUGAUUCAAUGCCUAAGGAUUUUAACCGUUCGUGGGAAGACCCAGUUCCUGAAAUUGGAGCUAGGUGUUUAGCACAUGAAGUUGAGGAUUUUCUUGGUUCGUCUGGUCAUACAAUCCCAGAAUGGAAAAAAGAAGUUUUUGGUAAAGCUUGUAGCUUUGGCAAGAAAUCAAACUCGUCAAUUGAAGAGCAGAGAAAAAGCUUGCCAAUUUAUAAGUCGAAGAAAGAAUUAGUUAAAGCUGUGUUUGAUAAUCAGGUGCUUGUAGUGAUUGGUGAGACUGGUUUGGGGAAGACUACACAGAUAACCCAGUAUCUUGCUGAGGCCGGUUAUACUGCACAAGGGAAAAUUGGCUGUACGCAGCCUAGAAGAGUGGCUGCAAUUUCUGUCGCUAAAAGGGUAGCUGAAGAAUUUGGUUGUAGGUUAAGAGAGGAGGUUGGGUAUGCUAUUAGGUUUGAUGAUUGUACUGGGCCUAAUACUGUGAUUAAGUAUAUGACCGAUGGGUUUCUUCUUAGGGAAAUUUUGAUUGAUAAUGAUCUGUCUCAGUAUUCUGUUAUAAUGCUUGACGAGGCUCAUGAGAGAACUAUUUAUACUGAUGUUCUUUUUGGGUUGCUUAAGAAGCUUUUGAAAAGGAGAUCAGAUCUUAGGUUGAUUGUCACUUCUGCUGCACCUGAUGCUGAGAAGUUCUCUGGGUAUUUCUCUAAUUGUAAUAUUUUUACUAUUCCUGGCAGAUCUUUUCCUGUGGAGACACUAUAUACUAAACAGCCUGAAAGUGAUUAUCUUGAUGCAGCUCUUAAAACAGUCUUGCAGAUCCACUUGACAGAACCUGAAGGAGAUAUUUUGCUCUUCUUAACAGGUCACGAAGAAAUAGAUUUUGCAUGUGAGUCUCUUGACAAUAGAAGGAAAGAACUUGGUAAUAAUGUUCCUGACUUGAUUAUCCUGCCUAUUUAUAGUGCUCUUCCAGGUGAAAUGCAAUCUAGGAUAUUUGAACCAACUGCUCCAGGGAAGAGGAAAGUGGCUGUAGCAACUAAUAUUGCUGAAGCGUCAUUGACUAUAGAUGGAAUUUUCUAUGUCAUUGAUCCUGGAUUUAUGAAACAAAAUGUUUAUAAUCCUGAGUUAGGGGUUGAAUCUUUGCUUAUAACCCCUAUUUCACAGGCAUCUGCCAAGCAACGAGCUGGGCAUGCUGGGCGUAUUGGCCCUGGAAAGUGUUACCGUCUCUAUACUGAGAAUGCAUUUAGGAAUGAGAUGUCUCCUACUGCAACUCCUGAAAUCCAAAGGAUUAACCUUGCAGAGAUUGUGCUGUCCAUGAUGGCUAUGGGAGUUAGAGAUGUAUUCUCUUUUGAUUUUAUGGAUUCUCCUUCAUUCCAAGCUCUUGUUUCUGCCAUGGAUCAACUGUAUGGUCUAGGGGCAUUGGAUGAGGAAGGGCUUCUAACUAAAACAGGUAGGCUAAUGGCAGUAUUUCCUCUUGGCCCACCAUUGUCUAAAUUGUUAGUAGCUAGUGAAUAUCUUGGUUGCAGUGAUGAGAUUUUGACUAUUAUUGCCAUGAUCCAAACUGGUAAUAUCUUUUACAGGCCUAGGGAAAAACAAGCUCAAUCAGAUAAGAAGAGGAGUAACUUUUUCCAUCCACAAGGAGACCAUCUGACUUUACUUGCUGUAUAUGAGGCCUGGAAAGCAAAAGGUUUCUCAGAUUCUUGGUGUCAUGAGAAUUUUGUUCAGGCUCAGUCUUUGAGGAGGGCAAAGGAUGUUAGAAAACAACUUCUUACCAUUAUGGAUAGGUAUAAUUUGGAUAUUGUGAGUGCUGGAGCGAACGUUAUGAAGAUAACGAAAGCAAUUGCUGCAGGAUUCUUUUUUCACACAGCUAAAAAAGAUCCGCAAGGGGGUUAUCGGACCCUGAUUAACAAUCAGACAUUCUAUAUCCAUCCAAGCAGUGCACUUUACAGCAGACAACCAAACUGGCUCAUCUACCAUGAAGUAGUAAUGACUACCAAGGAGUACAUGCGUGAGGUAACUGUCAUAGACCCUAAAUGGCUUGUAGAACUAGCAUCAAGAUUCUUCAAGGCUGCAGAUCCAAAGAAUAUGAGUAAGCGCAAAUGUUAAGAACGCAUUGAACUUCUUUAUGAUAGAUAUCAGGAACCUAAUCCAUGGCGCCUCAGUAAAUGAGGAUAUUAAUGCAGGCUUCAGCAUUUUGAGGGUUAAGUUUGAUCACAAGAGUCUGUUUCCUCCAUGAUAGAGAGAUAUAAAACUUGUCAGUUAACCUGAUGUGGUGCUCCUAUAUUAAGGCUUGAAUUGUAAGGUGAUAUUUCAAAUAUGAUCUCUGCUGAUACUUUGUCUUCAAUUACUUUAAUGCUUGCUUAUGAUCAUUUCCUUUUUAAUCUUUAAAACAAACUCUCCAUUAGCAUUUUCUAAGAAGCAAUACUUAUAUUAUGAAGAUGAUUUCAUUGUGAAAUCUUGUGUUUUUGCAUAUAGUUUCUCAGUAAAAUUUAUUUUUGUUCAAUUACUGUUUCUGUUUCUGCAACAAAAUAAACCACAAACAUUUUAUAGUUAAUUAUAUUGUAAGAUUGUUUUUUCUAUUAAGCGAAGCGAUAAACAUGCAGCACCAUAGAUCAAGUAUCUUAAUUUCAUGCUUUAGUUUCACCAAUCACUGCUGUAGCGCAUCCUUUUUUCUAUGAAUUCUUUCUUUCUUCAAUAAGCAGACUACAAUUAGCACUGUUCUAUUUCUAUGAGAUGUGAUGAUUUGUGAUAGAAAUAAAUAUAAAUUUUGAAAUAAGACUGCCAUCUACCAAAUGCAUUAAUGGGAUUAUCUAGAAAUGGGAUCAUCAUCAUGUGGAUGGGAAUUUCAUUCAAACAAAUCUAGGUUUCUUUUUAUGUAAUAUCCUUGUGCAGCAUUCAAUUAUUCAAUCCACGUAAUUUGAGGUUUGCUCACAUGCCACUUUGUUCUGUUUGUUUGAGCGAUAAACAUGUAUUCAAGGAACCAAUCCUUAUAAUCCAGGACAACAUUGAUUAAGGUUAUAUUUCAUUUGAUAUUCUUGGCAGUAGAAUGACAUAUGCACCCGUCUUCCACUCUCACUCCUACUCUCAACUGCUGCAAUGAAAUGCAGCUUUGACUCCAAGAAAAUAUUUUCAACUUGAGUGUACCUUCAUGAGGUAGUAUCAAUCUCAAAUAUUUAUUCUUUUAUUUUCACUUUUUUAAUUCUUUUUUCUUCUUUAUUUUACUAUUAGUUUCCACUUUUUUUAUUGGGAACAUGGGAAGGAGGGAAGAGGUUUUCUAUCUGAGGUCUCUGCCUCUCCUUUAUCCUACUUGAUGCCCUUGUGUCAUAGUUAUAUAUAUGGUUAGUUGAUCUUCAUAAAUAGCUCAAUGGAUAGACAUUUCAUAUUACCAGCACACUACAUGAUAUGUAUCUGUCCAAAUUGAUAGAUAUUGUUUCAUAGGAAGUGCAUUAUUUGCUGAAUCUAAGACAAAUUACUAUUAAGCAAUGAAUAGAAAAUGGAAGUAAUCUAUUUUUGGUGAACAUUAUGAAAAUUGUCUUGGGAUAUGAGAAAAAAUAUGUAUAUCUACAAAUUGAUAUAAUAUAUCUUUGUGGACAAGAGCUGUGUGUGGUGGAAAUCAGAUGGUUUCUGUUUGACACAAUUCUGAAACAGAAGACCUGCUUUUACUUUCUUGGCACUCAGAAUCCUUUCUGUGCUCGCAAAGGUAUGUUACUUCUCCAUGCAUGGUUACAUGCAUGUAUUGAUACAUGAAACAAGUGCAAAGUUAUCUUCAAUCUUGAAAGCUUUGUAGUUUAUGUGGUGUAAGUUAUUCGGUUUUGAAGCAAGUCGAUAUAUGAUUGUUGUUCUGAUGUGUCACUGUGAUAAUUGUGGCUAUGAUUACCAUGAUUAAGUUGACUAAUUUUUCCUACUUAAGCUAUUACCUCAACCGGGGAUGAGUUUACGCUUUCGGAGGCAAGGUGCAGGUUUAAAUCCUGUAUAUGGUUUUGAAUGGCAGAUAUUAUUGUGUUUUUUAUGCAGACUGUGGCUUCUCAGUUGUAAUUUUUAUAGGCAUUCAACAUAAUAGAGAAAAAACAUGGGAUGGAUGAUAUCCUUAGCGGGCUGGCUUGUUGGCAAGUUCAAUUUAAGGAUGCGAGACAAUAUGUCAAAGGAAUGGUUUUCUGGAUAGCAACAUUGAAGCAACUGCUUCUAUUGUUGAUGUUUAAUGAUCUUCCUUAAUGAAUGUUUCUCAUUUUCCUAAAAAAGAAAAAAUCUGUUCAACUUAUAAUUAUCGAAAA
Non-coding RNA from Jatropha curcas, 4748 nucleotides. The record is from RefSeq and is a predicted model, not a curated record. NCBI's taxonomy places the organism in Eukaryota, Viridiplantae, Streptophyta, Magnoliopsida, Malpighiales, Euphorbiaceae.